Molecule: non-coding RNA, 222 nt
Organism: Vicia faba (fava bean)
Lineage: Eukaryota; Viridiplantae; Streptophyta; Magnoliopsida; Fabales; Fabaceae
Source: the annotation of a GenBank genome assembly
AUGUCAUGUGGAAGGGCUGGAUCCUGGACAGGAGAACAUGGAGGCUGGGUUGAGCUUUCUGGUAAAAUGCAAGUCUUGCCAAUAUUACUUGCUCAAUCAUGUCAGAAAAUAGAUGAUCGCAUCUAUAUUCAGACUCUUGAUCUUUUUGCUCAAUUGCGUCGGGAACAAAGGUACCCCCAUUUGAGGCUUGAUGGUGCUACAUCUAUCAGAAAAAGAUAUUAG